RNAcentral lists this non-coding RNA (74 nucleotides) under Schistosoma japonicum. Lineage: Eukaryota; Metazoa; Platyhelminthes; Trematoda; Strigeidida; Schistosomatidae. The record is from RNAcentral.
GACCAAACGAAAACAUGGCAUCAGUCCAUGAAGUCAUGCAUAAUUGGGCUGAGCCAUGUUAAUUGAUGCAGGUA